RNAcentral lists this ribosomal RNA (863 nucleotides) under uncultured bacterium. Its description in RNAcentral is "bacterial SSU rRNA". It matches the Rfam family "Bacterial small subunit ribosomal RNA", at positions 8 to 916 of the family's 1533-position model. The record is from RNAcentral.
AGAGUUUGAUCCUGGCUCAGGAUGAACGCUGGCGGCGUGCUUAACACAUGCAAGUCGAACGAACCUUCGGGUUAGUGGCGGACGGGUGAGUAACGCGUGAGAAUCUGCCCUCAGGAGGGGGAUAACGGCUGGAAACGGCCGCUAAUACCCCAUAUGCCGAGAGGUGAAAUGAGUAUUCGCCUGAGGAUGAGCUCGCGUCUGAUUAGCUAGUUGGUGGGGUAAGAGCCUACCAAGGCAUCGAUCAGUAGCUGGUCUGAGAGGAUGAUCAGCCACACUGGGACUGAGACACGGCCCAGACUCCUACGGGAGGCAGCAGUGGGGAAUUUUCCGCAAUGGGCGAAAGCCUGACGGAGCAACGCCGCGUGAGGGAUGAAGGCCUCUGGGCUGUAAACCUCUUUUAUCAAGGAAGAAGAUCUGACGGUACUUGAUGAAUAAGCCACGGCUAAUUCCGUGCCAGCAGCCGCGGUAAUACGGGAGUGGCAAGCGUUAUCCGGAAUUAUUGGGCGUAAAGCGUCCGCAGGCGGCCUGAUAAGUCUGUUGUCAAAGCGUGGAGCUUAACUCCAUUUCGGCAAUGGAAACUGUGAGGCUUGAGUGUGGUAGGGGCAGAGGGAAUUCCCGGUGUAGCGGUGAAAUGCGUAGAUAUCGGGAAGAACACCAGUGGCGAAGGCGCUCUGCUGGGCCAUAACUGACGCUCAUGGACGAAAGCCAGGGGAGCGAAAGGGAUUAGAUACCCCUGUAGUCCUGGCCGUAAACGAUGAACACUAGGUGUCGGGGGAAUCGACCCCCUCGGUGUCGUAGCCAACGCGUUAAGUGUUCCGCCUGGGGAGUACGCACGCAAGUGUGAAACUCAAAGGAAUUGACGG